This 461-nucleotide ribosomal RNA is filed under the name uncultured bacterium. RNAcentral's name for it is "bacterial SSU rRNA". It matches the Rfam family "Bacterial small subunit ribosomal RNA", at positions 32 to 465 of the family's 1533-position model. The record is from RNAcentral.
AAUCAACGCUGGCGGCGUGCCUCAGACAUGCAAGUCGAACGCGAAAUUUCCCUUCGGGGAGAAAGUAGAGUGGCGCACGGGUGAGUAACACGUAGGUAAUUUGCCUUUGGGUGGGGAAUAACUCAGGGAAACUUGAGCUAAUACCGCAUAAUGCAGCGGCUCGACAUCGAGACAGUUGUUAAAGCGGGGGAUUGGAGCAAUCCGACCUCGCGCCUAAAGAGAAGCCUGCGGCAGAUUAGCUAGUUGGUAAGGUAAUGGCUUACCAAGGCGACGAUCUGUAACCGGCCUGAGAGGGCGGUCGGUCACACUGACACUGACAUACGGGUCAGACUCCUACGGGAGGCAGCAGUCGGGAAUUUUGGGCAAUGGGCGCAAGCCUGACCCAGCAACGCCGCGUGAAGGAUGUAAAUUUUACGGUAUGUAAACUUCGCAAGAACAGGAAGAAUAAGUGUGGGACAAUA